RNAcentral lists this ribosomal RNA (522 nucleotides) under uncultured bacterium. RNAcentral's name for it is "bacterial SSU rRNA". It matches the Rfam family "Bacterial small subunit ribosomal RNA", at positions 338 to 836 of the family's 1533-position model. The record is from RNAcentral.
CCUACGGGAGGCAGCAGUGGGGAAUUUUGGACAAUGAGGGCAACCCUGAUCCAGCAAUGCCGCGUGAGUGAAGAAGGCCUUCGGGUUGUAAAGCUCUUUUGUCAGGAAAGAAAUCGUUCUGGAUAAUACCUGGGACGGAUGACGGUACCUGAAGAAUAAGCACCGGCUAACUACGUGCCAGCAGCCGCGGUAAUACGUAGGGUGCAAGCGUUAAUUGGAAUUACUGGGCGUAAAGCGUGCGCAGGCGGUUGUGCAAGACAGAUGUGAAAUCCCCGGGCUUAACCUGGGAACUGCAUUUGUGACUGCACGGCUAGAGUGUGUCAGAGGGGGGUUAGAAUUCCACGUGUAGCAGUGAAAUGCGUAGAUAUGUGGAGGAAUACCGAUGGCGAAGGCAGCCCCCUGGGAUAACACUGACGCUCAUGCACGAAAGCGUUGGGGGAGGACGAACAGAGUAGUAUACCUACGGUACGUACCGACCGACCCGUAACCGUACGUGUACUACUAGUUGGUUCGGGUUCGUUA